UUUCCUGUGGUGUAGUGGUUAUCACGUCAGUUUUACGCACGGAAGCUCCCCAGUUCGAUCCGGAGCAGUAACA
This 73-nucleotide transfer RNA is filed under the name Helianthus annuus (common sunflower). RNAcentral describes it as "tRNA HanXRQr2_Chr10g0426381". Lineage: Eukaryota; Viridiplantae; Streptophyta; Magnoliopsida; Asterales; Asteraceae. The record is from RNAcentral.